GCGCCUUGCAUAUGUAGAACAGAUCAACACAUUUUCGACAUGAAUUUACGCAGAAAGUAUUCUAGAUUUCGGAAAAGUAUGGAUCCCCGGGUUAUUUUUAGAAAUAACAAUUAUUUUUUACAAAAAACAUAGAAAAAUGUGGUUCUUAUAAAAAAAUUCCCUACCUUCUUAUACACUUUUACACGAGAUACUUACAAAUUUGCAUUCCUGGUGCAUUCCUGCACUUGUGGGUGAUUUCUCGUCGUCUUUUUACCUUUCUAUAAAUAGCACGAGGAACGGAAAGGGUAUGUAUUUGUCUGUCUCGAUAGCUGAAAU
Molecule: long non-coding RNA, 315 nt
Filed under: Mytilus galloprovincialis (Mediterranean mussel)
Lineage: Eukaryota; Metazoa; Mollusca; Bivalvia; Mytilida; Mytilidae
Source: RNAcentral